Molecule: ribosomal RNA, 687 nt
Filed under: uncultured bacterium
Lineage: Bacteria
Description: bacterial SSU rRNA
Rfam family: Bacterial small subunit ribosomal RNA
Source: RNAcentral
CCCUUAGAGUUUGAUCCUGGCUCAGAACGAACGUUGGCGGCGUGGAUUAGGCAUGCAAGUCGAACGAAUCCCGGGGGCAACUCCGGGGGAAGUGGCGAAAGGGGCAGUAAGGCAUGGGUAACUUGCCUCGGGGACUGGGAUAGCCACCCCAACGGGUGGGUAAUACCGGGCGUCGUGUGUGGAGGGCAUCCCCUGGACACGAAAGAGAAUCGCCCUGAGAGAGGCUCAUGUGGUAUUAGCUUGUUGGUGGGGUAACGGCUCACCAAGGCCAAGAUGCCUAGCGGGUGUGAGAGCACGACCCGCGUCACUGGCACUGAGACACUGGCCAGACUCCUACGGGAGGCUGCAGUCGAGGAUCUUCGGCAAUGGGCGCAAGCCUGACCGAGCGACGCCGCGUGUGCGAUGAAGGCCUUCGGGUUGUAAAGCACUGUCGGGGAGGAGAAAAGCCCGCAAGGGUCUGAUCGACUCCCGGAGGAAGCACGGGCUAAGUUCGUGCCAGCAGCCGCGGUAAGACGAACCGUGCGAACGUUGUUCGGAAUCACUGGGCUUAAAGGGCGCGUAGGCGGACUGCCAAGUCAGAGGUGAAAUCCUGCGGCUCAACCGUAGAAGUGCCCCUGAUACUGGUGGUCUCGAGGAAGGUAGGGGCGUGCGGAACUUCCGGUGGAGCGGUGAAAUGCGUAGAUAUCG